Molecule: ribosomal RNA, 374 nt
Filed under: uncultured prokaryote
Description: bacterial SSU rRNA
Rfam family: Bacterial small subunit ribosomal RNA
Source: RNAcentral
UACGUAGGGGGCAAGCGUUGUCCGGAUUUAUUGGGCGUAAAGAGCGUGUAGGCGGCCAGGUAGGUGGGUUGUGAAAACUGGAGGCUCAACCUUCAGACGUCGACCCAAACCCCCUGGCUAGAGUCCGGAAGAGGAGAGUGGAAUUCCUGGUGUAGCGGUGAAAUGCGCAGAUAUCAGGAAGAACACCCGUGGCGAAGGCGGCUCUCUGGGACGGUACUGACGCUGAGACGCGAAAGCGUGGGGAGCGAACAGGAUUAGAUACCCUGGUAGUCCACGCCGUAAACGAUGGGUGCUAGGUGUGGGGGGUGUCAACUCCCUCCGUGCCGAAGCUAACGCAUUAAGCACCCCGCCUGGGGAGUACGGCCGCAAGGCUA